This 291-nucleotide ribosomal RNA is filed under the name Trichocyclus balladong. Its description in RNAcentral is "partial 12S ribosomal RNA". The record is from RNAcentral. Lineage: Eukaryota; Metazoa; Arthropoda; Arachnida; Araneae; Pholcidae.
CUAACAUAAUAUGGCGGUUACAAUUCACUAGAGAAACUCGCUUCAUAAUCGACAACCCUCGUUAAUUUUAACUUAAUUUCUAUAGCCUUUAUACCGCCGUUUCAGAAAUAAAAACCAAUUCAAUAUCUUAAUAAUCCCCACUAAAAAAUCAGGUCAAGGUGAAGCCAACAAUUAAGAAGAAGUAAGUUACAUUAAAAAUAAUUUAAGAAAGAAUACUAAAAACUAAACAGAAAGAGAAUCUAUAAAUAAAUUUUAAUCAAAAACUAAAAUCGAAACAAAACACUGUAACGC